GACGAACGCUGGCGGCGUGCUUAACACAUGCAAGUCGAACGGAAAGGCCCUGCUUUUGUGGGGUGCUCGAGUGGCGAACGGGUGAGUAACACGUGAGUAACCUGCCCUUGACUUUGGGAUAACUUCAGGAAACUGGGGCUAAUACCGGAUAGGAGCUCCUGCUGCAUGGUGGGGGUUGGAAAGUUUCGGCGGUUGGGGAUGGACUCGCGGCUUAUCAGCUUGUUGGGGGGGUAGUGGCUUACCAAGGCUUUGACGGGUAGCCGGCCUGAGAGGGUGAGCGGCCACGUUGGGACUGAGAUACGGCCCAGACUCCUACGGGAGGCAGCAGUGGGGAAGAUUGCACAAUGGGCUGAAGCCUGAUGCAGCGACGCCGCGUGCGGGAUGACGGCCUUCGGGUUGUAAUCCGCUUUCGCCUGUGACGAAGCGUGAGUGACGGUAAUGGGUAAAGAAGCCCCGGCUAACUACGUG
RNAcentral lists this ribosomal RNA (468 nucleotides) under uncultured bacterium. Its description in RNAcentral is "partial 16S ribosomal RNA". It matches the Rfam family "Bacterial small subunit ribosomal RNA", at positions 28 to 507 of the family's 1533-position model. The record is from RNAcentral.